AUACGGAGGGUGCAAGCGUUAUCCGGAUUCAUUGGGUUUAAAGGGUACGUAGGCGGAUAGAUAAGUUAGUGGUGAAAUCCCGAAGCUCAACUUCGGAACUGCCAUUAAAACUGUCUAUCUUGAAUUUGGUUGAAGUGGGCGGAAUAUGACAUGUAGCGGUGAAAUGCAUAGAUAUGUCAUGGAACACCGAUAGUGAAGACAGCUCACUAAGCCAAUAUUGACGCUGAGGUACGAAAGCAUGGGUAGCGAACAGAAUUAGAAACCCGAGUAGUCC
This 274-nucleotide ribosomal RNA is filed under the name uncultured bacterium. Its description in RNAcentral is "partial 16S ribosomal RNA". It matches the Rfam family "Bacterial small subunit ribosomal RNA", at positions 523 to 796 of the family's 1533-position model. The record is from RNAcentral.